Molecule: ribosomal RNA, 329 nt
Filed under: Pantoea sp.
Lineage: Bacteria; Pseudomonadati; Pseudomonadota; Gammaproteobacteria; Enterobacterales; Erwiniaceae
Description: bacterial SSU rRNA
Rfam family: Bacterial small subunit ribosomal RNA
Source: RNAcentral
GGGAACUGCAUUUGAAACUGGCAGGCUUGAGUCUUGUAGAGGGGGGUAGAAUUCCAGGUGUAGCGGUGAAAUGCGUAGAGAUCUGGAGGAAUACCGGUGGCGAAGGCGGCCCCCUGGACAAAGACUGACGCUCAGGUGCGAAAGCGUGGGGAGCAAACAGGAUUAGAUACCCUGGUAGUCCACGCCGUAAACGAUGUCGACUUGGAGGUUGUUCCCUUGAGGAGUGGCUUCCGGAGCUAACGCGUUAAGUCGACCGCCUGGGGAGUACGGCCGCAAGGUUAAAACUCAAAUGAAUUGACGGGGGCCCGCACAAGCGGUGGAGCAUGUGG